GAUGAACGCUGGCGGCGUGCCUAAUACAUGCAAGUCGAGCGAACGGACGAGAAGCUUGCUUUUCUGAUGUUAGCGGCGGACGGGUGAGUAACACGUGGAUAACCUACCUAUAAGACUGGGAUAACUUCGGGAAACCGGAGCUAAUACCGGAUAAUAUUUUGAACCGCAUGGUUCAAAAGUGAAAGACGGUCUUGCUGUCACUUAUAGAUGGAUCCGCGCUGCAUUAGCUAGUUGGUAAGGUAACGGCUUACCAAGGCAACGAUGCAUAGCCGACCUGAGAGGGUGAUCGGCCACACUGGAACUGAGACACGGUCCAGACUCCUACGGGAGGCAGCAGUAGGGAAUCUUCCGCAAUGGGCGAAAGCCUGACGGAGCAACGCCGCGUGAGUGAUGAAGGUCUUCGGAUCGUAAAACUCUGUUAUUAGGGAAGAACAUAUGUGUAAGUAACUGUGCACAUCUUGACGGUACCUAAUCAGAAAGCCACGGCUAACUACGUGCCAGCAGCCGCGGUAAUACGUAGGUGGCAAGCGUUAUCCGGAAUUAUUGGGCGUAAAGCGCGCGUAGGCGGUUUUUUAAGUCUGAUGUGAAAGCCCACGGCUCAACCGUGGAGGGUCAUUGGAAACUGGAAAACUUGAGUGCAGAAGAGGAAAGUGGAAUUCCAUGUGUAGCGGUGAAAUGCGCAGAGAUAUGGAGGAACACCAGUGGCGAAGGCGACUUUCUGGUCUGUAACUGACGCUGAUGUGCGAAAGCGUGGGGAUCAAACAGGAUUAGAUACCCUGGUAGUCCACGCCGUAAACGAUGAGUGCUAAGUGUUAGGGGGUUUCCGCCCCUCAGUGCUGCAGCUAACGCAUUAAGCACUCCGCCUGGGGAGUACGACCGCAAGGUUGAAACUCAAAGGAAUUGACGGGGACCCGCACAAGCGGUGGAGCAUGUGGUUUAAUUCGAAGCAACGCGAAGAACCUUACCAAAUCUUGACAUCCUUUGACAACUCUAGAGAUAGAGCCUUCCCCUUCGGGGGACAAAGUGACAGGUGGUGCAUGGUUGUCGUCAGCUCGUGUCGUGAGAUGUUGGGUUAAGUCCCGCAACGAGCGCAACCCUUAAGCUUAGUUGCCAUCAUUAAGUUGGGCACUCUAAGUUGACUGCCGGUGACAAACCGGAGGAAGGUGGGGAUGACGUCAAAUCAUCAUGCCCCUUAUGAUUUGGGCUACACACGUGCUACAAUGGACAAUACAAAGGGCAGCGAAACCGCGAGGUCAAGCAAAUCCCAUAAAGUUGUUCUCAGUUCGGAUUGUAGUCUGCAACUCGACUACAUGAAGCUGGAAUCGCUAGUAAUCGUAGAUCAGCAUGCUACGGUGAAUACGUUCCCGGGUCU
This 1372-nucleotide ribosomal RNA is filed under the name uncultured bacterium. RNAcentral describes it as "bacterial SSU rRNA". It matches the Rfam family "Bacterial small subunit ribosomal RNA", at positions 28 to 1381 of the family's 1533-position model. The record is from RNAcentral.